UUUUUGUUUGCGUUAGGGGUAGAGGCGAUAUCCUUUUGCCGGCGAAGCAAGGCAAAAGAUAAAGCCGAAAACCCGACCGAAG
RNAcentral lists this unclassified non-coding RNA (82 nucleotides) under Flavobacterium hercynium. Its description in RNAcentral is "Flavo-1 RNA". Lineage: Bacteria; Pseudomonadati; Bacteroidota; Flavobacteriia; Flavobacteriales; Flavobacteriaceae. The record is from RNAcentral.